GGGGGAUUAGCUCAAAUGGAGAGCGCUCGCUUUGCAAUGUGAGAGGUUAAGUGGGAUCGAUGCCCACAUUCUCCA
RNAcentral lists this transfer RNA (75 nucleotides) under Pleuronectes platessa (European plaice). It matches the Rfam family "tRNA". From Rfam's summary of the family: Transfer RNA (tRNA) molecules are approximately 80 nucleotides in length. Their secondary structure includes four short double-helical elements and three loops (D, anti-codon, and T loops). The record is from Rfam by way of RNAcentral. Lineage: Eukaryota; Metazoa; Chordata; Actinopteri; Pleuronectiformes; Pleuronectidae.